Molecule: long non-coding RNA, 525 nt
Organism: Oxyura jamaicensis (ruddy duck)
Lineage: Eukaryota; Metazoa; Chordata; Aves; Anseriformes; Anatidae
Exons: 3
Source: RefSeq, a predicted model, not a curated record
CAUGCCAUUUUCCAUCACUUACCACCACUUCCCAAUUUAGAAGUGAGGCAAGGCCUAUGGAAAAAAAGGCAUUACCUAGCACAGCACACCUGUGUUCUCUCCUGCCAUCAGGCUGCCACAGCUACAAUAACAUGACUGGUACAGGCUUCGAAGCAACAGAGCUCUAUCACCCAGGAAUUCAGCAGGGGAACCUUCUGGGCUGUUGUGGAGCAUCUAGAAAGAUCUACUUUAAAUUACUAUAUGGUACCACAGCAUUCCAGGCAAGAGGCAUGCUGCUUUGUGGAGCUGAUGCAGGCCCCUGCUCUCUGUAAGACCAAAAGUGGAAAGUAAACUUCAUAAAAGCCUGACCUGACGGCCUUCACAGCUGGAGCAUGUUGGGAAUCACUCCUGGCACCGAAGAGGUUAAUUGCCUCCUGCUGUGAGGUCUGAUGAUUUGGUCCACUCCCCAGGAGAAGCAGCCAUUGUUUCUCAACACUUGUUGCAUGUACUUUUUGCAGUUGUCCUCACUGCAUCUCAUGGUAUUUA